AGCUCCAGUAGCGUAUAUUAAAGUUGUUGCAGUUAAAAAGCUCGUAGUUGGACGUAUGGUACGGCGCGCUUGGCCCGCUCCCAUUGGGAGUGUGUUUGCUGAUGCGCGCUAACCAUCCUUCCAGAGAACGUUUCUACCCUUAAUUGGGCCGGAUUCGCGAUCUGGAUCAUUUACUUUGAAGAAAUUAGAGUGUUUAAAGCAGGCUCGUGCCGUGUAUACAUUAGCAUGGAAUAAUAAUUUAGGACUUCGGUUCUAUUUUGUUGGUUUUAAGAACCCAAGUAAUGAUUGAUAGGGAUAGUUGGGGGUGCUAGUAUUCAGCGGCCAGAGGUGAAAUUCUUGGAUUCGCUGAAGACUAACUUAUGCGAAAGCAUUCACCAAGGAUGUCUUCUUUAAUCAAGAA
Molecule: ribosomal RNA, 400 nt
Filed under: phytoplankton environmental sample
Lineage: Eukaryota
Description: partial small subunit ribosomal RNA
Rfam family: Eukaryotic small subunit ribosomal RNA
Source: RNAcentral